UACGUAGGCAGCUAGCGUUGUUCGGAAUUACUGGGCGUAAAGCGAGUGUAGGCGGUUUGCCAAGUCCGUUGUGAAAUCUCCCGGCUCAACUGGGAGGGUGCGGCGGAAACUGGCAGGCUAGAGUGCGGAAUGGGAGAGUGGAAUUCCUGGUGUAGCGGUGAAAUGCGUAGAUAUCAGGAGGAACACCGGUGGUGAAGACGGCUCUCUGGACCGUUACUGACGCUGAGACUCGAAAGCGUGGGGAGCAAACAGG
RNAcentral lists this non-coding RNA (253 nucleotides) under uncultured Acidobacteriota bacterium. RNAcentral's name for it is "uncultured Acidobacteria bacterium partial 16S ribosomal RNA". It matches the Rfam family "Bacterial small subunit ribosomal RNA", at positions 524 to 776 of the family's 1533-position model. Lineage: Bacteria; Pseudomonadati; Acidobacteriota. RNAcentral also lists the same sequence under 1 other name. The record is from RNAcentral.